UGGUUCUGGCAUCGAUGAAGAACGCAGCGAAAUGCGAUAAGUAAUGUGAAUUGCAGAAUUCAGUGAAUCAUCGAAUCUUUGAACGCACAUUGCGCCCUCUGGUAUUCCGGAGGGCAUGCCUGUUCGAGCGUCAUUUCAACCCUCAAGCCUUGCUUGGUGUUGGGGCACUGCUUUUACCCACAGAGCAGGCCCUGAAAUACAGUGGCGAGCUCGCCAGGACUCCGAGCGCAGUAGUUAAACCCUCGCUCUGGAAGGCCUGGCGGUGCCCUGCCGUUAAACCCCCAACUUCUGAAAAUUUGACCUCGGAUCAGGUAGGAAUACCCGCUGA
This 328-nucleotide unclassified non-coding RNA is filed under the name uncultured fungus. RNAcentral describes it as "partial contains 5.8S ribosomal RNA and internal transcribed spacer 2". The stretch from base 1 to 133 matches the Rfam family "5.8S ribosomal RNA", at positions 22 to 154 of the family's 154-position model. The record is from RNAcentral. Lineage: Eukaryota; Fungi.